GUGCUUGCUUCGGCAGCACAUAUGCUAAAGUUGGAAUGAUACAGAGAAGAUUAGCACUGUCCUUGCACCAGGAUGACACACAAAUAGGUGAAGUGUUCCAUAUUUUU
Small nuclear RNA from Acomys russatus (golden spiny mouse), 107 nucleotides. Lineage: Eukaryota; Metazoa; Chordata; Mammalia; Rodentia; Muridae. The record is from RefSeq and is a predicted model, not a curated record.